UCACAUGUCGAAGCAUGACUUAGAGGCAUAACCGCAUUGAAAGCAAUGUCGCAAGUGAGGUAAUCUUCACAAACAACCCAUGUAAUACAAUAAGGGAAAAGAUACAUAGUUGGCUUACAAUCGCCACUUCACACAAAUACAUGAAUAAAGCAUUACAUCAUCCAAAUACAAUCAGGGCCCAACUAUGGAGCCAAAAUAAAAGAAGACUACCCCAAAUGCUACACAGAUCCCCGAUCGACCCCAACUGGGCUCCACUACUGAUCAACUAGAAUGAAACAACACAAAGGGCAAGAUCUUCACCGAGCUCCUCCUUGAGCUUGGUUGCGUCAUCUACACGGUUCAACGGCACCUGCAAGCUGGUUUUGGGAGUAUCUGUGAGCCACGGGGACUCAGCAAUCUCGCACCCUCGCGAUCAAGACUAUUUAAGCUUAUGGGUAAGGUAAAGGUAUGAGGUGGAGCUGCAGCAAGCGACUAGCAUAUAUGGUGGCUAACAUACGCAAAUGAGAGCAAGAAGAGAAGGAAAAAGCACGGUCGAACAACUAUGAUCAAGAAGUGAUCCUGGAACAACCUACGUCAAGCAUUACUCCAACACCGUGUUCACUUCCCGGACCCCGCCGAGAAGAGACCAUCACGGUAACCCACGCGGUUGAUGUAUUUUAAUUAAGGUCAACUUCAGGUUUUCUACAACCGGACAUUAACAAAUUCCCAUCUGCCCAUAACCGCGGGCACGCUUUCGAAAGAUCAUAUCCCUGCAGGGGUGUCCCAACUUAGACCAUCACAAGCUCUCAUGGUCAACGAAGGAUAUUCCUUCUAGCAGGAAGACCCGAUCAGGCUCGAAAUCCCGGUUACAAGACAUUUCGACAGGUAAAACAAGACCAGCAAGACCGCCCGAUGCGCCGACAUCCUGAUAGGAGCUGCACAUAUCUCGUUCUCAGGGCAACACCGGAUAAGCGCUCCGUACAACUAAAAUCAGCCCUCAAGUUUCCCUGAGGUGGCGCUGCAAAGGACUCUAGUUCGGACCAACACUUAGACAAGCACUGGCCUGGGGGGGUUAAAAUAAAGAUGACCCUCGGGAUGCGCAACUCCCAAGGGAAAAAGGCUAGGUGGCGAAUGGUAAAACCAAGGUUGGGCCUUGCUGGAGGAGUUUUAUUCAAGGCGAACUGUCAAGGGGUUCCCAUUAUUACCCAACCGCGUAAGGAACGCAAAAUCCGGGAACAUAACACCGAUAUGACGGAACUAGGACGACAAGAGUGGAACAAAACACCAGGCAUAAGGCCGAGCAUUCCACCCUUUACCAAGUAUAUAGAUGCAUUAAUUAAAUAAGAUAUAUUGUGAUAUCCCAACAAGUAAACAUGUUCCAACAAGGAACAACAUUUUCCAUGUUCCAACAAGGAACAAACUUGAAUCUUCACCUGCAACUAAUAACGCUAUAAGAGGGGCUGAGCAAAGCGGUAACAUAGCCAGACAACGGUUUGCUAGGACAAGGUGGGUUAGAGGCUUGGUUCAACAAUAUAGGAGGCAUGAUAAGCAAGUGGUAGGUAUCGCAGCAUAGUCAUAGCAAAAGAGCGAGCAACUAGCAAGCAAAGAUAGAAGUGAUUUUGAGGGUAUGGUCAUCUUGCCUGAUAUCCUGCAAGGAAGAAGAACGAGUCCAUGAAGAAGACAAAUGGACAUAGAUGAACGGGUCCUCACAAACGCGACGUUACCGGAACCAACACGAAGAAGCAAACACCAAAAAGAAGCACACAACAUAGUAAACAACCAACACAUGAACAUGGUAUGAUAUGCGGGAUGCGGUAUGCGAUGCAUAUGCAUGAUUUGACAAGGAAUGAAUGAACCUGGCCUCAACUUGGGAAUCCAAGUGUGCCACUGGAAAGGUGAGGUGGAAUCGCUUGAAAACGAUAUAAAGAACGCCGGAAUCAGAGUCACGGUUUGGAAAUGGCAAGCAAUUCAAAUAUGGCACCGGUCUGUGAUAUACAACAAGUAGCCAUCUAAAUGCAAUAAGAUGAACAUGCUACAGCACUCAAACAUGACAACAAAAUACAUGGCAGGGAUCCAUACAUGAUGCUUGACAAAAGAGGAACACUGAGCUACGGCCAAUUCAUCCAUUAACAGGUUCAAACAAGCAUGGCAAAAAUGCAUUUGGCAAACAGAUUUCAGACUUAGUGAAAUUAACACUUGUCUGGAAUUUCAGAUCAGGUAGCACACUUUGAAGCUUGAAAACUAUAUGCUACAGGAACUGAACAUGUCAAAGUAAAGCAUGGCAUGGAGCUACUCAAAGAGCUUAACAAAAGUCCCGUAAUGACCUUGAGCCAAAAGGGAUCAGAAAAUACAAUUGCAAGCAUGUGAACAUGGCAAAAACAUAAUCAAGUUAUAGACUUAGAGAAAAACUGGAACAUGCAAAUAUGAUAGCGCGUAGGCAUGUUUGCGAGCUCGAUGCACUCACUAUAGAGAAAGGCACGACAAACUAAGCAUACACCCAUCAAGAAUAAACAUUUUACAAGCUAGACAUGGCAAGAACAAUAGCAUAGCAUGCACGGAUCAACUAGAACAUCCUCGGCAAAAUCGCUAACAAGUAGACAAUCUGCCCAGAUUCACGAAAUAGCAAAAGUAGAGCUCGAUUGACUCAAGCUAGGGUGCUCCAAAAUUACAAACAAAGACUUGGAUGGAUAGGGCACUACAAGAUUAACAAAUCAUCCUUCAGGUUUUCUACAACCGGACGUUAACAAAUUCCCAUCUGCCCAUAACCGCGGGCACGGCUUUCAAAAGUUCAAAUCCCUGCAGGGUGUCCCAACUUAGCCCAUCACAAGCUCUCACGGUCAACGAAGGAUAAACCUUCUCCCGAGACAUUCCGAUCAGACUCGGUAUCCCGGUUCUACAAGACAACUUCGACAAAGAUAAAACAAGUCCAGCAACACCGCCCGAAUGUGCCGACAAAUCCCGAUAGGAGCUGCACAUAUCUCGUUCUCAGGGCACACUCAGAUGAGACAUCCUACGAGUAAAACCAAACCUCAAGUUGCCCCGAGGUGGCCCCGCAGUCUGCUCGGUCGGACCAACACUCAGAGGAGCACUGGCUCAGGGGGGUUUAAAUAAUAUGACCCUUGAGUCUGCAGAACCUAAGGGAAAUAAAAGGCUAGCUGGCAAAUGGUAAAACCAAGGUUGGGCAUUGCUGGAGGAGUUUUAUUCAAGGCGAACUGUCAAGGGGUUCCCAUGAUAGGCCAACCGUGUAAGGAAUGCAAAAUCCGGGAACAUAACACCGAUAUGACGGAAACUAGGGCGGCAAGAGUGGAACAAAACACCAGGCAUAAGGCCGAGCCUUCCACCCUUUACCAAGUAUAUAGAUGCAUUAAUUUAAAUAAGAGAUAUUGUGAUAUCCCAACAAGUAAACAUGUUCCAACAAGGAACAACAUCUCAAUGUUCCAACAAGGAACAAGCUUCAAUCUUCACCUGCAACUAACAAUGCUAUAAGAGGGGCUGAGCAAAGCGGUAACAUAGCCAAACAACGGUUUGCUAGGACAAGGUGGGUUAGAGGCUUGGUUUAACAACAUGGGAGGCAUGAUAAGCAAGUGGUAGGUAUCGCAGCAUAGGCAUAGCAAAAGAGCGAGCAUCUAGCAAGCAAAGAUAGAAGUGAUUUCGAGGGUAUGGUCAUCUUGCCUGAGAUCCCGCAAGGAAGAAGAACAAGUCCAUGAAGAAGACAAAGCGGACGUAGUCGAACCAAAACUCACCACUCCGGAACGAAACCGAAGCUAACGCGAGGAGCAACCCGGAAAGAAGCAAACAACAUAGUAAACAACCAACACAUGAACAUGGCAUGAUGCACAACCAAGUAUGAUGCAUGUCCGGUUUAAUGAAGCAUGUCAUGGCAAAAGUGCAUAAGCAAUCCUACAAAUUAAGUGGAGCUCAAUAUGCAACGGUGCAUAUUGACACCACGACAAGUUAUUUAGUUUGAUCUCGUUUAUGUACCCAACAAUAUUAAAUGUUGAUUAACCUGGAAAGGGGUGAAGCACAACAAAACUACCUAUCUAGGCAAGUUUAAAUGAGGCCGGAACAACAAACAACAAGUCCGGAAAAGUCCUCAUGUGCAUGUUAAUGGAAUUGGUGCUGUUCUGCCCUAAACACAAUUUUAGGGUUAUUAAACAUGCAAAGAAAGUGAACCAUGGUAAACUAGGCAUUUUUCCCACCCCAUUUACAUAUAAAGUUUAUUAAAUUCUGAGUUACGGGUAUUUAGUUAUGAAUUAAAGCAUUUUAACAUGACAUAGGAGCAAAUUUAAUCAAAAAGCAUUUUAAACAUUUCAAACAUAGAUGAAAGUUGGAUAUUAUGAAACUAGACAAAAUUAUAAGCAAGUUUAAUAUAUAAUUUAUUUAGAUCCGAUGCACGGUAAAUUAGUUAUUAGAUGCAUGAAGUCUAGGGGGUUUUCCGCAAAAACUGCUAUCUCUGGAAUAUUAUCUAAAUUGUCCACUGAAAAAAUAGGAGUUGGGCCGAAACUGGCUGGCCCAACCGUGCAUAGUGGGGGUUAGGGCGGCUGCUCACAGUGGGCUGGCUUCGCGUGAAAGGGCCGGGGAGGAUGGGCCUUGAGGGAGGGACUCAGCGGGCUGGCAGCUUGCGACCGGGAAGUCAACGCGGGCGCUGGUCGUCCUCGUCCCCGCGUGCUCACGUAGAAGGAGGGGAGG
RNAcentral lists this long non-coding RNA (4668 nucleotides) under Triticum aestivum (bread wheat). RNAcentral describes it as "long non-coding RNA (TAES_LNC005498)". The record is from RNAcentral. Lineage: Eukaryota; Viridiplantae; Streptophyta; Magnoliopsida; Poales; Poaceae.